UACGGGGGGGGCAAGCGUUGUUCGGAAUUACUGGGCGUAAAGGGCUCGUAGGCGGCCAACUAAGUCAGACGUGAAAUCCCCAGGCUUAACCUGGGAACUGCGUCUGAUACUGGAUGGCUUGAAUUCGGGAGAGGGAUGCAGAAUUCCAGGUGUAGCGGUGAAAUGCGUAGAUAUCUGGAGGAACACCGGUGGCGAAGGCGGCUAUCUGGACGACAACUGACGCUGAGGCGCGAAAGCACGGGGAUCAAACAGG
RNAcentral lists this ribosomal RNA (253 nucleotides) under uncultured bacterium. Its description in RNAcentral is "partial 16S ribosomal RNA". It matches the Rfam family "Bacterial small subunit ribosomal RNA", at positions 524 to 776 of the family's 1533-position model. The record is from RNAcentral.